ACUCCUACGGGAGGCAGCAGUGGGGAAUAUUGCACAAUGGGCGCAAGCCUGAUGCAGCCAUGCCGCGUGUAUGAAGAAGGCCUUCGGGUUGUAAAGUACUUCUAGCAGUGAGGAAGGCGAGUACGUUAAUAGCGUGCUCGUUGUACGUUAGUCUGCAGAAGAAGCACCGGCUAACUCCGUGCCAGCAGCCGCGGUAAUACGGAGGGUGCGAGCGUUAAUCGGAAUUACUGGGCGUAAAGCGCAUGCAGGUGGUUUGUUAAGUCAGAUGUGAAAGCCCGGGGCUCAACCUCGGAAUUGCAUUUGAAACUGGCAGACUAGAGUACUGUAGAGGGGGUAGAAUUUCAGGUGUAGCGGUGAAAUGCGUAGAGAUCUGAAGGAAUACCGGUGGCGAAGGCGGCCCCCUGGACAGAUACUGACACUCAGAUGCGAAAGCGUGGGGAGCAAACAGGAUUAGAUACCCUGGUAGC
RNAcentral lists this ribosomal RNA (467 nucleotides) under uncultured bacterium. RNAcentral describes it as "bacterial SSU rRNA". It matches the Rfam family "Bacterial small subunit ribosomal RNA", at positions 335 to 794 of the family's 1533-position model. The record is from RNAcentral.